GCCUGCCCAGUGACCACAUUAAACGGCCGCGGUAUCCUAACCGUGCAAAGGUAGCGUAAUCACUUGUUCUUUAAAUAUGGACUAGUAUGAACGGCCCCACGAGAGCUUGGCUGUCUCCUUUCUCUAAUCAGUGAAACUAAUCUCCCCGUGAAGAAGCGAGGAUAAAUCUAUAAGACGAGAAGACCCUAUGGAGCUUUAAACAACACAUCAUUUACCACUAAAAUUUCUUUAACUAAAUCAUUGGACAACAUGACUGUACGUUUUUGGUUGGGGUGACCGCGGAGUAAAACAUAACCUCCACAUUGAAUGAUUCUUUAAACCAAGAACAACCUAUCUAAGAAUUACUAUAAUAACACCCAUUGACCCAAUACACUUGAACAACGAACCAAGUUACCCUAGGGAUAACAGCGCA
This 412-nucleotide ribosomal RNA is filed under the name Nectophryne batesii (Bates' tree toad). Its description in RNAcentral is "partial 16S ribosomal RNA". It matches the Rfam family "Bacterial large subunit ribosomal RNA", at positions 1857 to 2484 of the family's 2925-position model. The record is from RNAcentral. Lineage: Eukaryota; Metazoa; Chordata; Amphibia; Anura; Bufonidae.